This 464-nucleotide ribosomal RNA is filed under the name uncultured bacterium. RNAcentral's name for it is "partial 16S ribosomal RNA". It matches the Rfam family "Bacterial small subunit ribosomal RNA", at positions 28 to 506 of the family's 1533-position model. The record is from RNAcentral.
GACGAACGCUGGCGGCGUGCUUAACACAUGCAAGUCGAACGGAAAGGCCCCUUUGGGGGUACUCGAGUGGCGAACGGGUGAGUAACACGUGAGUAACCUGCCCUUGACUUCGGGAUAACUUCAGGAAACUGGGGCUAAUACCGGAUAGGAAUCCUUGCUGCAUGGUGGGGGUUGGAAAGCUUCGGCGGUUUUGGAUGGACUCGCGGCUUAUCAGCUUGUUGGUGGGGUAGUGGCUUACCAAGGCUUUGACGGGUAGCCGGCCUGAGAGGGCGACCGGCCACAUUGGGACUGGGAUCCGGCCCAGCCUCCUCCGGGGGGCAGCAGUGGGGAAUUUUGCACAAUGGGGGGAAGCCUGAUGCAGCAACGCCGCGUGCGGGAUGACGGCCUUCGGUUUGUAAACCGCUUUCAGCGGGGGGGAAGUUUGUGGGGACGGUCCCGGCAGAAGAAGCCCCGGCUAACUCCGU